GUGUGUGAGCGAGGAGGGGUGUGUCUGAAAGGGUGUGUGAGCGAGGAGGGGUGUGUCUGAGAGGGUAUGAGACUAAGAAGGAGUGUGUCUGAGAGAAGGUGUGUCUGAGAAGGGGUGUGUCUGAGAGGGGUGUGUCUGAGAAGGGGUGUGUCUGAGAGGGUAUGAGACUAAGAAGGAGUGUGUCUGAGAGAAGGUGUGUCUGAGAAGGGGUGUGUCUGAGAGGGGGUGUGUCUGAUAUGGGGUGUGUCUGAGAGGGGUGUGGCUAAGAGUUGCAAGAGUUAUCAAACAUUAAACAGUUAUCUCUCUCCAAACAAAACAAAAUAUAAAAGAGGCAGAAAUUCACUUCCUCAUGAUCAAAUGUU
Long non-coding RNA from Ictalurus punctatus (channel catfish), 362 nucleotides. Lineage: Eukaryota; Metazoa; Chordata; Actinopteri; Siluriformes; Ictaluridae. The record is from Ensembl.